Molecule: ribosomal RNA, 216 nt
Filed under: Glomeromycotina sp.
Lineage: Eukaryota; Fungi; Glomeromycota
Description: partial small subunit ribosomal RNA
Rfam family: Eukaryotic small subunit ribosomal RNA (bases 75-216)
Source: RNAcentral
GGGUCAGUAGGUUGGUCGUGCCACCGGUACGUACUGGUCUCACUGAUUCCUCCCUCCUGAAGAACCGUAAUGCCAUUAAUUUGGUGUUGCGGGGAAACAGGACUGUUACUUUGAAAAAAUUAGAGUGUUUAAAGCAAGCUAACGCUUGAAUACAUUAGCAUGGAAUAAUGGAAUAGGACGAUCGAUCCUAUUUUGUUGGUUUCUAGGAUUGACGUA